This is a non-coding RNA of Podarcis lilfordi (Lilford's wall lizard), 70 nucleotides long. NCBI's taxonomy places the organism in Eukaryota, Metazoa, Chordata, Lepidosauria, Squamata, Lacertidae. The record is from the annotation of a GenBank genome assembly.
GCGUAGCUCAGUUGGUUAGAGUGUGGUGUUGAUAACACCAAGGUCACAGGUUUGGUCCCUGUAUGGGACA